AGUGAACGCUGGCGGUAGGCCUAACACAUGCAAGUCGAACGGCAGCACAGGAGAGCUUGCUCUCUGGGUGGCGAGUGGCGGACGGGUGAGGAAUACAUCGGAAUCUGCCCAGUCGUGGGAGAUAACGUAGGGAAACUUACGCUAAUACCGCAUACGACCUUCGGGUGAAAGAGGGGGAUCGCAAGACCUCUCGCGAUUGGAUGAGCCGAUGUCGGAUUAGCUAGUUGGCGGGGUAAUGGCCCACCAAGGCGACGAUCCGUAGCUGGUCUGAGAGGAUGAUCAGCCACACUGGAACUGAGACACGGUCCAGACUCCUACGGGAGGCAGCAGUGGGGAAUAUUGGACAAUGGGCGCAAGCCUGAUCCAGCCAUACCGCGUGGGUGAAGAAGGCCUUCGGGUUGUAAAGCCCUUUUGUUGGGAAAGAAAUCUUUCAGGCUAAUACCCUGGGAGGAUGACGGUACCCAAAGAAUAAGCACCGGCUAACUUCGUG
RNAcentral lists this ribosomal RNA (490 nucleotides) under uncultured bacterium. Its description in RNAcentral is "partial 16S ribosomal RNA". It matches the Rfam family "Bacterial small subunit ribosomal RNA", at positions 29 to 507 of the family's 1533-position model. The record is from RNAcentral.